This 279-nucleotide ribosomal RNA is filed under the name uncultured bacterium. RNAcentral's name for it is "partial 16S ribosomal RNA". It matches the Rfam family "Bacterial small subunit ribosomal RNA", at positions 506 to 784 of the family's 1533-position model. The record is from RNAcentral.
UGCCAGCCGCCGCGGUAAUACGGAGGGGGUUAGCGUUGUUCGGAAUUACUGGGCGUAAAGCGCACGUAGGCGGACUGGAAAGUUGGGGGUGAAACCCCGAGGCUCAACCUCGGAACUGCCUUUGAUACUGAGAGUCUUGAGUCCGAGAGAGGUGAGUGGAAUUCCUAGUGUAGAGGUGAAAUUCGUAGAUAUUCGGAGGAACACCAGUGGCGAAGGCGGCUCACUGGCUCGAUACUGACGCUGAGGUGCGAAAGCGUGGGGAGCAAACAGGAUUAGAUA